RNAcentral lists this long non-coding RNA (208 nucleotides) under Carica papaya (papaya). Its description in RNAcentral is "long non-coding RNA (CPAP_LNC001188)". Lineage: Eukaryota; Viridiplantae; Streptophyta; Magnoliopsida; Brassicales; Caricaceae. The record is from RNAcentral.
UAGAAAUAUAAAAUCAAAUACUAUAAGCUUGUUGUAAACCUGAACAACAGACCAAGGCUCAUUAGUGGAAAAAAAAAAUUCCAUUAGGGUGAGUUCAUUACUUGCACAAGGUAUAAAAAGGACCAACGAUUCUGCCUCCACACUAGUAGGGAUUACAAGCUCUACCAUGAUACUUUGGCUAAUAAAUGGUGGAGGUGCCCCAACUGGC